UACGAAGGGGGCUAGCGUUGCUCGGAAUUACUGGGCGUAAAGGGCUCGUAGGCGGCCAACUAAGUCAGACGUGAAAUCCCUCGGCUUAACCGGGGAAUGGCGUCUGAUACUGGAUGGCUUGAAUCCGGGAGAGGGAUGCGGAAUUCCAGGUGUAGCGGUGAAAUGCGUAGAUAUCUGGAGGAACACCGGUGGCGAAGGCGGCAUCCUGGACCGGCAUUGACGCUGAGGAGCGAAAGCCAGGGGAGCAAACGGG
RNAcentral lists this ribosomal RNA (253 nucleotides) under uncultured bacterium. RNAcentral's name for it is "partial 16S ribosomal RNA". It matches the Rfam family "Bacterial small subunit ribosomal RNA", at positions 524 to 776 of the family's 1533-position model. The record is from RNAcentral.